UGAGGAAUAUUGGUCAAUGGACGGAAGCCUGAACCAGCCAAGUAGCGUGCAGGAUGACGGCCCUAUGGGUUGUAAACUGCUUUUGUAUGGGGAUAAAGUUAGGGACGUGUCCCUAUUUGCAGGUACCAUACGAAUAAGGACCGGCUAAUUCCGUGCCAGCAGCCGCGGUAAUACGGAGGAUGCGAGCGUUAUCCGGAUUUAUUGGGUUUAAAGGGUGCGUAGGUUGUUCGGUAAGUCAGCGGUGAAACCUGAGCGCUCAACGUUCAGCCUGCCGUUGAAACUGCCGGGCUUGAGUUCAGUGGCGGCAGGCGGAAUUCGUGGUGUAGCGGUGAAAUGCAUAGAUAUCACGAGGAACUCCGAUUGCGAAGGCAGCUUGCCAUACUGCGACUGACACUGAAGCACGAAGGCGUGGGUAUCAAACAGGAUUAGAUACCCUGGUAGUCCACGCAGUAACGAUGAUUACUAGGAGUUUGCGAUAUACCGUCAAGCUUCCACAGCGAAAGCGUUAAGUAAUCCACCUGGGGAGUACGCCGGCACGGU
This 540-nucleotide ribosomal RNA is filed under the name uncultured bacterium. Its description in RNAcentral is "bacterial SSU rRNA". It matches the Rfam family "Bacterial small subunit ribosomal RNA", at positions 355 to 895 of the family's 1533-position model. The record is from RNAcentral.